UGGAGAUGAGGAGGUCAAACUGAGGGGCCUUUGUGUUGGAGGAAUUGCCCAUAUAAUGUACUGAAGUCACUGAGGAUGAUGGUGGACCUUCAGGAGAGAGGAGGAUCAUGGGCUAAAGAUUAAAGUCUUCACGACUGCAUGGUGGAAAUACAGUAUUAUAUAAUGACAUGCUACUAUGCAUCUCUACCUAACUCCUCGUCUGGUGAUGCCAUAUUGAAAUCAGCCAUACUGAGAGUAUUUACACACUGGUGAAGUCAGUAAAUGCUACAAAUCAAGGCCUGAAUGUAACCUACAUGAGAAAGAGUUGCCUUGCUCACUGCCGUAUCCCAGUAUCCCAAGCACCUUGGAGAUGCUCUAUGAAUACUGAAUGAAUCUGAGAGGAAACUAGCCCAUGGGGGAAGGCUCUGGAAGCAAGCCCUCAUGGACCAAUGGAGAAAAAGGAAACUGAAUCUUGGGGAGAUUAAGCAACUCUUUCAAGGUCAACCAGUGAGUGGCAGAAUCAGGGUUUGAAGGAAACCUUUAUGAAUCUGAUGUCUGCCCCUUCUAAAUUAGGACUCUCAUCUAUCAGCCUGUGAGAAAAAAUACAGAAAGCAUCAUUCAGGCAACACAUGAACUCAAGACACUGAGACUUCACUAACCUUCCUCGCACACAAGGUCCUAAAGGAACUACACAUGCAUGUCCACAUUUGAUGCACAUAACAGACUCUUACCGCAUCGAAAUAAACCCCAGUAUGAUCAUAA
This 741-nucleotide non-coding RNA is filed under the name Pongo abelii (Sumatran orangutan). The record is from RNAcentral. Lineage: Eukaryota; Metazoa; Chordata; Mammalia; Primates; Hominidae.